GUGUCAGCAGCCGCGGUAAUACGGGGGGUGCGAGCGUUGUCCGGAAUCACUGGGCGUAAAGGGCGCGUAGGUGGUUUGAUAAGGGUGUGGUGAAAGUCCGGGGCUCAACCCCGGAUCUGCCGUGCCGACUGUCAAACUCGAGGACUGUAGAGGCAGACGGAAUUCCGGGUGUAGCGGUGGAAUGCGUAGAGAUCCGGAGGAAGACCGGUGGCGAAGGCGGUCUGCUGGGCAGUUUCUGACACUGAGGCGCGACAGCGUGGGGAGCAAACAGGAUUAGAAACCCCUGUAGUCC
RNAcentral lists this ribosomal RNA (292 nucleotides) under uncultured bacterium. RNAcentral's name for it is "partial 16S ribosomal RNA". It matches the Rfam family "Bacterial small subunit ribosomal RNA", at positions 505 to 796 of the family's 1533-position model. The record is from RNAcentral.